GACUGGUCUGAAGGUACUGAGUUAUCUCAAUUGAUUGUUCCCAGUCAGUUAUAGACUGAACUCCCUGUUCUAUUUUUAUCCCCUUCUCACUACUGCACUUGACUAGUGUUAA
This 112-nucleotide Y RNA is filed under the name Colobus angolensis palliatus. Its description in RNAcentral is "Y RNA (ENSCANG00000008266.1)". It matches the Rfam family "Y RNA". From Rfam's summary of the family: Y RNAs are components of the Ro ribonucleoprotein particle (Ro RNP), in association with Ro60 and La proteins. The Y RNAs and Ro60 and La proteins are well conserved, but the function of the Ro RNP is not known. The record is from Rfam by way of RNAcentral. Lineage: Eukaryota; Metazoa; Chordata; Mammalia; Primates; Cercopithecidae.